Molecule: RNA transcript, 5040 nt
Organism: Oncorhynchus kisutch (coho salmon)
Lineage: Eukaryota; Metazoa; Chordata; Actinopteri; Salmoniformes; Salmonidae
Gene name: histone acetyltransferase KAT8
Exons: 11
Source: RefSeq, a predicted model, not a curated record
CUCUGCACUGCGCAAACUCACAUCGUCCGGGGGCAGGCAGUGUUUUGAAAUAACACAAGAUGUCUGCCGGAACAGCGCUAACGACGAACGAGCGUCAUAUUCGAGACAAUAACUACAACAACAAUCUUCCAGAGGACCGAAUGGACGUUGAACUUGACACAGGACACAACGUAACGGACCGGGAAGACUUGGACACUGGAAUACAAGCCACUUGUUCAUCUAACGGCAGUGGCGGGGAGGAGGAUGAGUCGGAGUCCAUUGAUCGGGAAAGAGAAGCCGGGGGCUCGAUUCCUCAGCGCAACGGGGAAGGAGUGUUGUUGGGCAGGGAGCAAGAGGUGUCAGUCGAAAUCGGAGAGACGUAUUUAUGUCAGCGAGCCGACAAGACAUGGCAUUCUGCUGAGGUUAUCCAGUCCAGGCUGAACGAACAGGAGGGCAGAGAGGAGUUCUACGUACACUAUGUUGGAUUUAACAGACGUUUGGAUGAGUGGGUGGGCAAGGCUCGCCUGGCACUGACCAAGACGGCGAAGGACGCAGUGACAAAAAUCGCCGAGGGUGGUGGAGGGGGCGAGCUGGGCGAGCAGCCUGAGAGGAAGAUCACCCGCAACCAGAAACGCAAACAUGAUGAGAUCAACCACGUGCAGAAGACAUAUGCAGAGAUGGACCCCACCACAGCUGCCUUGGAGAAGGAGCAUGAGGCGAUCACUAAAGUGAAGUACGUGGACAAGAUCCAGAUUGGAAACUUUGAGAUUGACGCCUGGUACUUCUCCCCAUUCCCAGAGGACUACGGCAAGCAGCCCAAGCUGUGGAUCUGCGAGUACUGCCUCAAGUACAUGAAGUACGAGAAGACCUUCAGAUACCACCUGUCCCAAUGUCAGUGGAGGCAGCCUCUUGGGAAAGAAAUCUACAGGCGGAGCAACAUCUCUGUGUACGAAGUGGACGGACGUGACCAUAAGAUCUACUGCCAGAACCUGUGUCUACUGGCCAAGCUCUUCCUGGACCACAAGACGCUGUACUUUGACGUGGAGCCUUUUGUCUUUUACAUUCUGACUGAAGUCAACAGGCAGGGAGCACACAUAGUGGGAUACUUCUCCAAAGAGAAAGAGUCUCCAGAUGGGAAUAAUGUGGCGUGUAUCCUCACCCUCCCACCCUACCAGCGCAGAGGAUACGGAAAGUUCCUCAUAGCCUUCAGCUAUGAGCUGUCUAAAUUGGAGAGUACGGUGGGUUCUCCGGAGAAGCCCCUGUCAGACCUGGGCAAGCUGAGCUACAGGAGCUACUGGUCAUGGGUGCUGCUGGAGAUCCUCAGGGACUUCAGGGGCACGCUCUCCAUCAAGGACCUCAGGACAAUGACCGAAAUCACACCUCCAGGCUGGGUAAGGGCUAUUUGACCAAGAAGGAGAGGGAUGCAUCAGAUGACCUGGCCUCCACAAUCACUCGACCUCAACUCAAUUGAGAUGGUUUGGGAUGAGUAGGACCACAUAGUAAAGGAAAAGCAGCCAACAAGUGCUCAGCAUACAGUGGUUGCUCCACUAAAAGUUUUGCGAUUAUGCUGUGGUACUUAGAGGUCAUUUGUGGUUUAGUACGGUACCCUACAUCAUCACUUCAUUGCUCCAGACCAGCGCAAGGGGGAGUUAGAGCACUGUGUCUCUGACAGUGAGUGGGUGACAUAAACCUAAAUAGAAACUGUUAAUUGUGCUCGACUUCACACUAAGGGUUUUAUUUUGUUAUGAUUAUUUUGCUUUUACUGUAGUAAGUAUAGCCCACUCCUGACCAGUCACGUUGUACAGCGUCUGAGUGGCGCAACGGACUAAGACACUGCAUAGUUGGUCAAGCUGUGUUGCUACAGAUGUUGGUUCAAUGCCCGUGCCGGCCUCGACUGGGAGACCCGUGAAAUGACUCUAGGUUUUUGGUUUCUCUCCCUUUAAAACAGAAAUAAAUAAUUAUAAAUAACAAACUGACUAAUAACUAACUUUAUUUCCAAAUUAGUAACAUUGUCUCAUCCCAUGUUCAAGGAUGGCCUUUUUCUUGCUCAUUUUACAGUAUUUGAAAACUAAAUCCUCUACCGAAAUAUAUAUUUUAUAAUUAUUUUAAAGCCCCUUGGAUAUUCUCACAGAUAUAUUAUUAACCCUGUUAUUAGUAGGACAAUAUAUAUUGGUCAUGGCUCCUGAGUGGUGCACAAUGGGAUUGCCCUGCAGUUCUCCAGCUGUAUUUCAGUUCUCCACUGAAAGCGUUCAAGGCACAAGGGCAGGGGGCACGGGAUGGGCCGCAGAGCCGCGCACACGGACCUAGCCCAUGGGGAAAGGAGGAGGAGAGAGGGGGGUGGACCCUCACUCCGCCACACUGGGUAGCACAGAGGAACACUUUAAGGGGCAUUGCACUAAUAAUGGCGUUGAUGGGAAACGUUCCCGCUGUUCUUAGUGCCAGUCUGCACGUUCAAACUAAAACAAUGUAACUAAUAAUGACAUCUUUAUGCUUUCGUUAAUAAAAUAAUGAUUAAAUACUCUUUCAAAAUGCCAAUGUUUAUUUAGUUAUGGAUCCAUAACGAAUUACUAUGGGAAUAAAUAUCACUGAAUUACAGAAAUAUUGGAACAAAGUUGUCUAAUGAAGGUAAACAAAUUGUUGCUUACUGGAAAAUGCUCUUUCAAACACACACUGUCACGGUGUACUGCGCCAUUAUGGCUAUUAGCAGGUAGCUGGACAAUAGACUUGCCUAGAAGGUGGGUAGGGGGAGAAAUCUAUCAUCAAAUGUAUUUCUUAGUUAGGUUGGCUGUAUCACAACCUGCUGUGAUUGGUUGCAAUUUCAGUUUAAUCUACCAGAAAAGACUAAACAAAUAAUACAACAAAAUAUUAUUAUUAUGUAUCACACCCAACCGUGAUUGGGAGUCCCAUAGGGCGGUGCACAAUUGGCUCCAUGUUUCUCUCCCUCUUAAAACAGAAAUCAAUAUUUUGGCCUUUACAAACAUUAUUUUGGCCUUUAUUACAAUCACUCAUUUUAGAGUGAUUUUAUUUUAUUUAAAAAAAAUAUAUAUAUAUAUCAUUAUAUAUUAUCAAGUUGAUGCCAGUCAUAUAGCCUGCACCUACAUAAAGCUGAGUGACUCAUUCAUUCAUGGAUCAAAAUAAAUAAGUACCAACAUUCUUUCUGAUAGUCUUCUAAUAAAAACAUGUUUUGGUUAUCCUGACCUGGACAACAUGUACAGUGUUAGAACAGCCCAUUAUGGGCUGUUAGCAGGACAAUAUACCUUUACCAACGCUUCUUGUAUUUUGAUUCUUUGUGGAUGGGGCCUCCCCAGUGGUGCAGCCAAGUCACCGCAUCACAAUGCAAAAUGCAUUGCUACAGAUACCCAUGCCGCCCGCCACCGGUAGACCCAUGAGGCGGCUUUUGGUUUUAAUUUCGAAUCCUCCAAUCCUCUACAUGUAAUUAUUGGCAGAGUCCGGUCAUAUUUUUCGAUAUAUUGUCGGCCUACCGUAGGCGAUAUGAGUCUCACUAGUGUUGAGUAAUGUACUGUUAAAAGUGGUGUAGGUCUUAUUUAUUUAAAGAGCAUAUUGAAGUUAGAAGCAAUAGGAUUUGAAUAGCCUACAACUAUUUUAGCUUGUUUCACGCUGCUCUGAGACAAGCAUGGGGACUGGUCUUGAUAAAUCAAUGCGAUUUUUAUUUUGACUGCAUCUCCGUUUGGGUAUUAGUUAGACUACAAUUAUGGUGUAGAAAUGUUAUGCUCUUAGUGUAACCUUUAUUUAACUAGGCAAGUCAGUUAAGAACAAAUUCUUAUUUACAAGGACAGCCUACUCCUUCCUCCCCGUCGGGGAAUUGAAUCCCAGUCUUCCGCGUGCCCGCAUGACACGGAAGCCAAAUAGCCAAGUACUGUAGUCUACUCCCGACCGUCACGUUGUACAUCGCCAUGUUUCCCGUUCCAUCCAAAUGGAAACCCAGAGGGUUUUUCUUGGAAUAAAAACACCAUAAUAUUAGGCAACAUUUCUUAAAAUCAGUCCCGUUAUUUAAGUGCCAACCACUGGUACCAUUAAUGCUAGUUUGACGUUAGAUGCUGCUAAUGCUACGUUCUUAUAAAAAAAGGUUUGAAAUUCUCUAGUGCAGCCACUACUGAAGGCAAUCAAAUGCUUGUCAAAGAUGCCCUCUGGUGGUCAAGCUAGCAUUAACGGUACCCGUGGUUGGCACUUAAAUAACAUGCUGUGCUGCAGUACGCUGCAACUUUUAAAGGACAAACAACUCUGUGGGAAUUCCUUCAAGACUGUUGGAAAAGCAUUCCAGGAGACUACCUCAUGAAGCUGCUUGAGAGAAGCCGUCAAGGAAAAGGGUGGCUCAAGUAUAAAAUAUAUUUAGAUUUCUUUAACACUCUUUUUUUGGUUACUACCUGAUGUGUUAUUUCAUUAGUUUUGAUGUCUUCACUAUUAUUCUACAAUGUAGAAAAAUUAUGUUUUUUUAAAACUUCAAUGAGUAGGUGUCCAAACUUUUGACUGGUACUGUAUGUGAAAAUCCAUCUACUUGCACAUCCACAACCAUAGGUACACCUGCAUUCACUUGUACAUAUGUCAGGUACUCCUACAUCAUAACUGUAUACAUAUGACCUCACACACACUCAGCCCCAGAUUCUCAUUGCUCUCCCCACUCCACAGUCAGAUGACCAGUAUUACCCAGGGUGACAUCAUCAGUACGCUGCAGUCCCUCAACAUGGUGAAAUACUGGAAAGGCCAGCACGUCAUCUGUGUCACGCCCAAACUGGUUGAGGAACACCUCAAGAGUGCCCAGUACAAGAAGCCGCCAAUCACAGUUGACACUGUGUGUCUGAAGUGGGCCCCACCCAAACAUAAGCAAGCCAAGUUUUCCAAGAAGUGAGGGAAGGUGCUCGUGACAUCGUGCCAGACCACCCAACCAACCCACCCACGCAUGGUAUUUGUUCUCCAAUUCCCUUCUUCCCUCCACUUGUUCUUUGUCCCCAGUUUAAACUAUUUGUUGUGAAGAGGAACCAAUAUGUACAUUACUAGUGUCUUUUUUUCUGUUUUUUAAAUAAACAAGAAUAGUGAUAUUCA